RNAcentral lists this ribosomal RNA (484 nucleotides) under uncultured bacterium. Its description in RNAcentral is "partial 16S ribosomal RNA". It matches the Rfam family "Bacterial small subunit ribosomal RNA", at positions 30 to 507 of the family's 1533-position model. The record is from RNAcentral.
AUUGAACGCUGGCGGCAUGCUUUACACAUGCAAGUCGAACGGCAGCGCGGGCUUCGGCCUGGCGGCGAGUGGCGAACGGGUGUGUAAUGCAUCUUAACGUGCCCAGUAGUUGGGGAUAGCCCGGCGAAAGCCGGAUUAAUACCGCAUACGACCUUCGGUUGAACGCGGGGGACCGAAAGGCCUCUCGCUUUUUUAGCUGCCUAUGUCGGAUUAGCUAGUUGGUGGGGUAAAGGCUUACCAAGGCGACGAUCCGUAGCUGGUCUGAGAGGACGACCAGCCACACUGGGAGUGAGACACGGCCCAGACUCCGACGGGAGGCAGCAGUGGGGAAUUUUGGACAAUGGGGGCAACCCUGAUCCAGCCAUGCCGCGUGCGGGAAGAAGGCCUUCGGGUUGUAAAACGCUUUUGUUCGGGAAGAAAUCAUCUGGGCUAAUACCCCGGGGGGAUGACGGUACCGGAAGAAUAAGCACCGGCUAACUACGUG